AUGUUUUCGUCGCAGUCCCGAUCACGGAUCAACAACAUCCGGAUCGCCCUCUCCAACAUGCAGAAGGGAACCCAGACGGUGGCGGCCUACUUCGCCCACAUGCGCUCGCUCGCAGAUGAGCUCGCUGCAGCUGGAAAGCCCCUGGAUGAUGAUGAGCUGAUCUCCUACAUCACCGGCGGCCUCGACAUGGACUACCAGCCGCUCGUGUCUGCUCUCGACGCGCGCCCUGCUUCUGAACCGGUAACCCUUGAUGAUCUCUUUGCCCAGAUGAGUAAUUUCGAUCAGAGGGUUGCCCUCUUCCACAACACCAACUCAGGCGGGGGAUUCAAGUCCUCUGCAAACACUGUUGUUCGUGGCCGCGGUGGUGGAUCCUCUCGCUAUCGGGGACCAGCGCGCGCCAAGGGCAGGCAGCAAGGUGGAAACAGCGGCAGCAACAACUCAUCUCGCAACGACGGCGGCCGCCCCUUCAACACCAACACCAGGGGCCGCCGCAACUCCACCUCCAAACCACGGCCUGACGCUGUGCGCUGCCAAAUUUGUGGCAAGCUGGGGCACACGGCGCGGGACUGUUGGUAUCGCUUUGAUGAAGAUGGUGAGUCCUCUCAAGAUGAGAAAGUUGUUGCCGCAGCAGAUGGUUCCUACGGCAUCCACACAAACUGA
RNAcentral lists this ribosomal RNA (660 nucleotides) under Triticum aestivum (bread wheat). RNAcentral describes it as "partial small subunit ribosomal RNA". The stretch from base 139 to 283 matches the Rfam family "Small nucleolar RNA Z247". Lineage: Eukaryota; Viridiplantae; Streptophyta; Magnoliopsida; Poales; Poaceae. The record is from RNAcentral.